Molecule: ribosomal RNA, 510 nt
Filed under: uncultured bacterium
Lineage: Bacteria
Description: bacterial SSU rRNA
Rfam family: Bacterial small subunit ribosomal RNA
Source: RNAcentral
AGAGUUUGAUCCUGGCUUAGGAUGAACGCUGGCGGCGUGCUUAACACAUGCAAGUCGAACGGAGUUUUUAAACGGAAGUUUUCGGAUGGAAGUUUAAGAACUUAGUGGCGGACGGGUGAGUAACGCGUGGGUAACCUGCCUCAUACAGGGGGAUAACAGUUAGAAAUGACUGCUAACACCGCAUAAUAUAGUGAAACCGCAUGAUUUUGCUAUCAAAUAUUUAUAGGUAUGAGAUGGGCCCGCGUCUGAUUAGCUAGUUGGUGGGGUAAAAGCCUACCAAGGCGACGAUCAGUAGCCGGCUUGAGAGAGUGACCGGCCACAUUGGGACUGAGACACGGCCCAAACUCCUACGGGAGGCAGCAGUGGGGAAUAUUGGACAAUGGGGGAAACCCUGAUCCAGCCGACGCCGCGUGAGUGAAGAAGUAUUUCGGUAUGUAAAGCUCUAUCAGCAGGGAAGAUAAUGACAGUACCUGACUAAGAAGCCCCGGCUAACUACGUGCCAGCCGCCGC